UACUGUUCAAGUAAUUGGAGCUGCAUGUC
This 29-nucleotide non-coding RNA is filed under the name Mus musculus (house mouse). The record is from RNAcentral. Lineage: Eukaryota; Metazoa; Chordata; Mammalia; Rodentia; Muridae.